AUUGAACGCUGGCGGCAUGCCCUUACACAUGCAAGUCGAACGGCAGCACGGGUACUUGUACCUGGUGGCGAGUGGCGAACGGGUGAGUAAUACAUCGGAACGUACCUUAUCGUGGGGGAUAACGCAGCGAAAGCUGUGCUAAUACCGCAUACGCCCUGAGGGGGAAAGCGGGGGAUCGAAAGACCUCGCGCGAUUAGAGCGGCCGAUGCUUGAUUAGCUUGUUGGUGGGGUAAAAGCCCACCAAGGCGACGAUCAAUAGCUGGUCUGAGAGGACGAUCAGCCACACUGGGACUGAGACACGGCCCAGACUCCUACGGGAGGCAGCAGUGGGGAAUUUUGGACAAUGGGGGCAACCCUGAUCCAGCAAUGCCGCGUGAGUGAAGAAGGCCUUCGGGUUGUAAAGCUCUUUUGUCAGGGAAGAAACACCGGCUCUAACACAGUCCGGGAAUGACGGUACCUGAAGAAUAAGCACCGGCUAACUCUGUG
RNAcentral lists this ribosomal RNA (486 nucleotides) under uncultured bacterium. Its description in RNAcentral is "bacterial SSU rRNA". It matches the Rfam family "Bacterial small subunit ribosomal RNA", at positions 30 to 507 of the family's 1533-position model. The record is from RNAcentral.